CGCGGCCUAUCAGCUUGUUGGUGAGGUAACGGCUCGCCAAGGUAACGACGGGUAGCUGGUCUGAGAGGACGAUCAGCCACACUGGGACUGAGACACGGCCCAGACUCCUACGGGAGGCAGCAGCAGGGAAUAUUGCACAAUGGGCGCAAGCCUGAUGCAGCGACGCCGCGUGAGGGAUGAAGGCCCUCGGGUUGUAAACCUCUUUCAGGAGGGACGAAGCGAAAGUGACGGUACCUCCAGAAGAAGCCCCGGCCAACUACGUGCCAGCAGCCGCGGUAAUACGUAGGGGGCGAGCGUUGUCCGGAUUCAUUGGGCGUAAAGAGCUCGUAGGCGGCUCAGUAAGUCGGCCGUGAAAGCCCGGAGCUCAACUCCGGGACGCCGGUCGAUACUGCUGUGGCUAGGGUCCGGUAGAGGAGAGUGGAAUUCCCGGUGUAGCGGUGAAAUGCGCAGAUAUCGGGAGGAACACCAGUAGCGAAGGCGGCUCUCUGGGCCGGUACCGACGCUGAGGAGCGAAAGCUAGGGGAGCAAACAGGAUUAGAUACCCUGGCAGUCCUAGCCGUAAACGUUGGGCACUAGGUGUGGCGGAUUCAUUGACAUCUGCCGUGCCGGCGCUAACGCAUUAAGUGCCCCGCCUGGGGAGUACGG
RNAcentral lists this ribosomal RNA (645 nucleotides) under uncultured bacterium. Its description in RNAcentral is "bacterial SSU rRNA". It matches the Rfam family "Bacterial small subunit ribosomal RNA", at positions 232 to 885 of the family's 1533-position model. The record is from RNAcentral.